AUAUGGGCCCCGCGCGCUACCACUGCGCCAUGCUGCU
Molecule: transfer RNA, 37 nt
Filed under: Moniliophthora perniciosa FA553
Lineage: Eukaryota; Fungi; Basidiomycota; Agaricomycetes; Agaricales; Marasmiaceae
Description: tRNA-Met
Source: RNAcentral